RNAcentral lists this transfer RNA (85 nucleotides) under Escherichia coli. RNAcentral's name for it is "tRNA-Leu". It matches the Rfam family "tRNA". From Rfam's summary of the family: Transfer RNA (tRNA) molecules are approximately 80 nucleotides in length. Lineage: Bacteria; Pseudomonadati; Pseudomonadota; Gammaproteobacteria; Enterobacterales; Enterobacteriaceae. The record is from RNAcentral. RNAcentral also lists the same sequence under 5 other names.
GCCCAGGUGGCGGAAUUGGUAGACGCACUACCUUGAGGUGGUAGCGCCGUAAGGUGUGGGGGUUCGAGUCCCCCCUUGGGCACCA